Molecule: long non-coding RNA, 378 nt
Filed under: Jatropha curcas
Lineage: Eukaryota; Viridiplantae; Streptophyta; Magnoliopsida; Malpighiales; Euphorbiaceae
Description: long non-coding RNA (JCUR_LNC000999)
Source: RNAcentral
UUCUUUUUCAGCUACUGGAUUACUUGUGGUGUUUGAUUCUCACCAACCAUGGGGUCGAUCCCCGAUCCUGGCGAGUUAACCGAGUUGACUCAGCCCAGCUUUGACGAGUUCCAGCGCCAGACCUCUCUCAUGACCAGCUGCACUCUUCUCUGGAAGGAGCUAUCUGACCAUUUCUCGUCUCUUGAGCAGAAUCUUCAGAAGAAAUCAGAGGCCCUCAAGAACAAGUUUCAGACACUAGACCAUCAAACAAAGACCUCUCUCGCCUCCCUCAAGAAGCGCGAGGUCACCAUUGACGGCAGCGUUGAGAUCGCACUCAAACGCGUCGAGCAACACAGGGAAGCCGCUCUCAAGUCACUUGAUAAUCCCAAUUUUGACCAU